Molecule: ribosomal RNA, 295 nt
Filed under: uncultured bacterium
Lineage: Bacteria
Description: partial 16S ribosomal RNA
Rfam family: Bacterial small subunit ribosomal RNA
Source: RNAcentral
GUCCACCUACGGGGGGCAGCAGUGGGGGAUAUUGCACAAUGGGGGAAACCCUGAUGCAGCGACGCCGCGUGUGGGAAGACGGUCCUCUGGAUUGUAAACCACUGUCCCCAGGGACGAAGAUGACGGUACCUGGGGAGGAAGCUCCGGCUAACUACGUGCCAGCAGCCGCGGUAAUACGUAGGGAGCGAGCGUUGUCCGGAAUUACUGGGUGUAAAGGGAGCGUAGACGGCAGUGCAAGUCUGAAGUGAAAGGCAAGGGCUCAACCCUUGGACUGCUUUGGAAACUGUGCUUCUGG